GUGCUUGCUUCAGCGGCACAUUACUAAAAGGAUAUAGAGAUUAGCAUGGCUGCUGUGCAAGGAUGACAUGCAAAUCCAUAAAGCAUUUUCUAUUUAA
Molecule: small nuclear RNA, 97 nt
Filed under: Meriones unguiculatus (Mongolian gerbil)
Lineage: Eukaryota; Metazoa; Chordata; Mammalia; Rodentia; Muridae
Source: RNAcentral